UUUCCUCUUACCACUUCUCCAGACGUCUUCACUGGUGGAACACUUCAGUGGUGCAGCAAAGAUUCCUCAAAAGGUCUACUUACCUUGUUGAGAAGUUGCUUUUCCUGAGAUGCUAGAAACACUCCAACAGUAGCUCACAGUGCUCUUCAUGCAGAUGCAAACACUACUGCACCUGUGAAUAAAAGAUACCAUAUGCUACUGCUUCUAGCAGUUCCGGGGGUUAUUUCACAUGUAGGAAGCAGGCCCGUUGUCAGUUCAGGGGUGUGUUUUAUGUCAUUUACUUAGGACAAGGUUCCCCCUUGAGUGACUGGGGUUUACACAACUAGAUCCCUCAUAAAGGCACCUGCUUAGAAUUUGCUGAGAAUUCAUCCUCAGAGAAUCGGUCCUCUUCACAUACACUAGUAUCUGCAAACCUCUUACCCCUCAUUAAAAUCACAAUCUGAUGGAACUGGCUUUGUGCAAAGGGGGUGCAGGUUUGGUCACCACGCUCGGAAAGCCACCCUGAAUCAUAAAAAGGCCAUCUGAAUGGCUGAAGAAGAAACCGUUGUAUGAGAAGAGUUUGGUUUUUUUCACUCUAGCAACACAGGGAAAGAGGACACAUGCUUGAUUUCUGCAAAUACAUCACAAAGAAAGAAAGUUGACUGCAUUUACUUGGACAUAAGGUAACAGGAGCGACCAACGGAGCAGGGAUGCUGUUGCUAAAAGGCUGGACCAUUCUGACUAAGUUACACAAAUCCAAAUAUAAGGCACUCUCUUAUCAUCUGCUCCUUUUGCUUAUUGAAUUGUAGGAGGAAAUAAUUUGAUCUAGAAUACAAGGUGAUCUUAUAUUUAAGCUCUUUUUUUUUCCCCUGAAAGAGACAAAACCCAGAAGAAAUCUAAUAUCCAGGCUCACGUGCUAUGUGUGUACAGUCUAAACUGCAAGAGAGGUGUGGCACAAUAAUAUAUGUGAACAAACUAGUCAUUAGUAACUCUACUCUGGAAAUUGAAGAAGGUUUCUAACAAAGAGAGUGGGAACAACCUGGUUUCAGAACGGUGCUUAAUAAAUAGUUUGUGAUAGAGUAUCAUUGGACUUGAUCCUUCUAGUCCUUUCUUUAGCAAAACAAGAGGCUUAUUUCUUUUUUAUCCAUGCAGGUAUUUUCUACAGAGGUGACGGUGAACCAGAACAUCAGCUUCAGACUUCCUUGGACUUGGACUGUGAUUCAUACUCUCCAGUUGGAGAUCAUUUGAAGACAUAGGUUGUAAUUAUACAUAGGCAGAGGAAGUAAAGCAAUUUUCACAACUCAGAAGAGAGGUAACAUAGAUUUCCUCACGUGAGGGUCACUUUAGAGAGCUCUGUCUGAGGAUGGGCAGUGGUUUUGCUUGCAUAACCCUCAGACAGGAACAAAAACUUGCCAUAUGUUUUGCUGAGUUCCAUUGUCUCUUCCUCUGUACGGAAAUGAAAGCCUAUUUCUCCACUAGUUCCAUGAAAACUAUCUGAAUCCUGGUAACAUGUCUCUGAGAAUUUGCUCAGAGGGAAUAACAGACAAGGGUACACCCUCCACUGCUAUGUUACUGUUCCAUGAGUUCCAGACAAAAGCAUUUAUUGUGGUUUGGCAGCAAUCACCUACUCCUAAAGCCCUGGGAUUGUAUUGUUCUUUACUUGUCAGAAGUUGAUUUAGUACCUACAGGCACAGAUUGCAGGGUUCAUCCUUUUAGGAAGGAUCUUGAGGCUUUCUAGACUGCUGGGGUCACAUCUCACAGCCAGGAAGACCACUUGGAGGAGUCAAAAAAGCUCACUGUGAAGACCAGGCCCUCAAAGAAGCAAAAGCUCUGCCCUGCAAUGAAUGUUCCAGGAUCUUUAUUCUGACCCGGGUUACAUGGUAAUACUCCAGAAACAGAGCAAUCAACUGCCAGGCCCAUAAUAAUAACUUUGAAUCAUUAAAGAUACAUCUUAGGGAAAAUUAUUGUUAAGGCCCCAAAACUGGGUUGCUGUGUUUGGAAUUCUAAUAAUGGUAGGCGAGUUUGGCUGGAAUUCCUAAUGAUACAAAGAUCUUGCAAUCUUGCUUAUCUGUAGCUAAGAUAAUGAGCCUGGGACCUGAACAAAGCUAUUAGGAGGUCCCUCUUCUGCUCUGAAUGGUGUAUCUUUACUUUUAAAGCAGGUCAUUAGAAGUCAUAUCUAAUGAAAACUCCAUCUGGUUCCCAUUGAGCAUACACUUGGCUUUUAUUCUUUUUUAUCCCUAAGGUUGCAUGAAGCUUCGCAGCACACAGUGCUGACACCUGCACAACGUAACAGGACAAGCCAGCCCUCAAUGAGCUUCCUUUGUCCAGAGAAGUUAAAUAUUGGGUAUAUCUGGAUCUAUUAACAUGAAGCUGAACUUUUCGACCUUUAAUUUCUUUCAUAUCCAGGAACUGGAGAGAGAUGUAUAAAUAUGGUAGUGGUGUAAUAAAUCUUAGGUCACAGAGACCUGCACAGGUCUGAGUCUGCAGACCACAAAGGUUAUUUUACAAAGCAUUAGCAGUAAAAGCCAAAACUUGCCUCUCAGUGCUCUCUUCUUCACGUUAAGACACAGGGUCUGUGACACAAAGCUGUGAUCCCUACAGACACUCCUACAGAAGCCAAACAGAUACACAUGCAGUUUCCAUUACUAAAUAAUUCAUUUGCCAGUCCCAGAAAAAGCUGGUAGUGUUAGAUAAACAUGUUAUGCUAAAGUGCUUUUGAAGCCCAGUUUGCAACAGACUUAAGGAUUUACCCAAGAGUAGAUUUUCUAUCCUCUUAGAAGGGUCUUCCUCCCUUAUUCUCUAUCCAGACCUGGCUACCUACAGUAAUGAAUUUUUUAGGGAUUUUAUGACUUUGAGACCUCUUUCAUUCUACCAGAUGUGGCUAAAACAGUCAAUGGCUUAAGAAGGGACAGGUGAGAUAAACAAGCUGACACACGGGUAGACAAUAUAUUCUUACAGCCAGGCUGACAAUCAAAUAACACGGCAAAGAGAUCACUGACAGCACUUGUGUGGUGAGCAGGAAUGUGUGGGAGCUUCUGUUCUGGUGAUAUGAGCAUCUGCUCUGUGGCUGUGGAUUGCUCUUUGUUAUAUCAUCUGUUCAAGUUUAAUAUUCCAAAGAAAUGAAAGUUGGGACAUUCAUUCCCAACCAUCUGCAGUUCCUGUUAGACUCUUGGAGACUCCAUCUGAUUUCCUUUUUCUUUUACACCCAGACACUACUGGCUGAUAUCCAUCAUCCUGCCAGUUAACAAAGACUUGGAAAACUUUGGCAUAAGUUCCAGGCUGUGUCUGGCUUCCUUUUGUCAGUCCUGAAAGGGGCCAGAAAACAGGAAAGAGCCCUCCCAGUCUUAAACUGCCGGGCAGAGGGGAGAUUCCUGGGUGAUGGCUGCCUGCCACACACACCCUUGCAGACCCCUGGGACAGGGUGAGGCUCGGACAAGGAAGGGGACCAGUGUGGAAGAUGAUGGGUUUAGCCAGAUUGCACUGCAGUUAUCUUUGGCUGCUGGUAUGUUUUCUUGGAGACCAGGGUGAGCAUUGUUCAGAGAUCACUCACAUCUGAAGAAUCUGAAGCAGGCCUCUGCACCCAGCAUCCAAGAGUGGCUGCUGAGUACCGACAUGGGGGUCACUUUGUAACACAGACAUUGGUUCCAGCUGACAAGGUCUCCUGAAGGAAAAGCUCCCCAGCAACAACCAGAGUCCUAAAAUUUGGGUUUAAAAUUUCCAUUGCCAUCUUUCUUGGGACCUUUCAGAGAUUCAACUCAGAUUAAAGGACCAUUAUCAAACAUAAUGAAGAAAUCUGGCUACUUUGCAGUUGAAGAUGAGUGAGCCCUCAUCUCUAGCUCUUGCUCUGUUUCUACAUGAUUGCUCCUCUUUAACCAUAAACAGAUGCCACCUCUUACACAGGCACAAGUGAAGCUGAAUACAUCAAAUUGCUGAUCUACUUCUUACCUUCUUGUCUCAUCUACUUCUACCUCUUUAAUUAUUGCUCCCCUUUCACGCUUUUCAUUUUCAAAUGAAUUGUUCUUCUACAUUAAGCAAACUAAACUAACCUUGCAGAGGAAUAAAAAGACAGUGAGAGAGACUGCUAGAGUUCUCUUACAGGACUGUUCUCAACACGUAUGCAGAAAAUUGGAUAGGUGUAACUUAAAAUGUAACUUAAAAUGUAUCAAAGAGGUUUGAAAGAAGCAACUGUGAUUUUUUUAAAGCUUUAUUCUUAAAUCCUGAUGACAUUUUGUAAUAGCCAUAUAACCAUUUCUUAAUCUAGACAAAUAGUUUUUACAUUGGAAAGGUAACAAGUAGAGAGUUUGAAGGCCUAAUGUAGGGUUAUUAAUCAGAGAGAUGAUGAUAAGGUUAU
Molecule: long non-coding RNA, 4330 nt
Organism: Strigops habroptila (Kakapo)
Lineage: Eukaryota; Metazoa; Chordata; Aves; Psittaciformes; Psittacidae
Source: Ensembl